RNAcentral lists this ribosomal RNA (486 nucleotides) under uncultured bacterium. Its description in RNAcentral is "bacterial SSU rRNA". It matches the Rfam family "Bacterial small subunit ribosomal RNA", at positions 30 to 507 of the family's 1533-position model. The record is from RNAcentral.
AUUGAACGCUGGCGGCAUGCUUUACACAUGCAAGUCGAACGGCAGCACGGGUGCUUGCACCUGGUGGCGAGUGGCGGACGGGUGAGUAAUGCAUCGGAACGUGUCCCAAAGUGGGGGAUAACGCAUCGAAAGAUGUGCUAAUACCGCAUAUUCUCUGAGGAGGAAAGUAGGGGAUCGAAAGACCUUAUGCUUUUGGAGCGGCCGAUGUCUGAUUAGCUAGUUGGUAAGGUAAUGGCUUACCAAGGCGACGAUCAGUAGUUGGUCUGAGAGGACGACCAGCCACACUGGGACUGAGACACGGCCCAGACUCCUACGGGAGGCAGCAGUGGGGAAUUUUGGACAAUGGGCGCAAGCCUGAUCCAGCAAUGCCGCGUGAGUGAAGAAGGCCUUCGGGUUGUAAAGCUCUUUCAGUUGAAAAGAAAAAGCCGUGACUAAUAAUCAUGGUUCAUGACGGUAUCAACAGAAGAAGCACCGGCUAACUACGUG